Molecule: ribosomal RNA, 494 nt
Filed under: uncultured bacterium
Lineage: Bacteria
Description: bacterial SSU rRNA
Rfam family: Bacterial small subunit ribosomal RNA
Source: RNAcentral
GACGAACGCUGGCGGCGUGCUUAACACAUGCAAGUCGAACGGACGAGUGAGAUAAGUUUACUUAACUCACAAGUUAGUGGCGGACGGGUGAGUAACACGUGGAUAAUCUACCUGCAACACCGGGAUAACGCUGUGAAAACGGUGCUAAUACCGGAUACGUUCCCUUGUGCGCAUGUAUGAGGGAAGAAAGCUCAGGCGGUUGCAGAUGAGUCCGCGGCUGAUUAGCUAGUUGGUGAGGUAAAGGCUCACCAAGGCGAUGAUCAGUAGCCGGCCUGAGAGGGUGAACGGCCACACUGGGACUGAGACACGGCCCAGACUCCUACGGGAGGCAGCAGUGGGGAAUCUUCCGCAAUGGGCGCAAGCCUGACGGAGCAACGCCGCGUGGGUGAAGAAGGCCUCGGUUGUAAGCCUGUCUUAUGGGAAGAAGUCAGUGACGGUACCAUAGGAGGAAGCCACGGCUAACUACGUGCCAGCAGCCGCGGUAAUGAGUAGUA